Molecule: unclassified non-coding RNA, 551 nt
Filed under: Hevea brasiliensis (rubber tree)
Lineage: Eukaryota; Viridiplantae; Streptophyta; Magnoliopsida; Malpighiales; Euphorbiaceae
Source: RNAcentral
AUUCACUCCAUGUCAUUGACAAACAAUUGUAACAGGAAGUGUUUGAUAAAGACCAUUUCAAAGCAGACGACGAAAUGGGAAAUGCUCAUCUCAGUCUUCAGCCUUUGGUUGCAGCUGCUAGAUUGAGAACUAUUCUCGGGGUUGCUUCUGAGGGGACAACAUUAAGGAAGGUUAUCCCGAAUAAAGACAACUGCCUAGCAAUCGAUAGCAGCAUUAGUUGGGUGAAUGGUGAAGUUGUACAAGAUGUUUGGUUAAGGCUUUGUGAUGUGGAGUCUGGGGACAUUGAGUUGAAGAUCAAAUUGAGUGAUCUUUCCUCCGUUGUUCCAGCCUCCACGUAGAAUGGUUAUCAGUGACAUUGAUGCAGGUCUCGUUUGAGCUAUAUACGUCUUGUUAUAGGCCAAAAAAGACGUCUAGUAGAAGAAGCGCCUGUGUUUGACAUUUUUAGAUUGGAACUCAAACAAAUGAUAUUUGUAGAUUUUGAUCAAGUAUGUGCAUAACUCAAAUUGGAGUGAUUUAAGAAGUGGAAGGGGGAUUUUUGCUGUAUCUGUUUU